Molecule: unclassified non-coding RNA, 4468 nt
Filed under: Orbicella faveolata
Lineage: Eukaryota; Metazoa; Cnidaria; Anthozoa; Scleractinia; Merulinidae
Description: sushi, von Willebrand factor type A, EGF and pentraxin domain-containing protein 1-like, transcript variant X1
Source: RNAcentral
UGUUAUGGCUAAGCUAUAAUCGUAAUUUUUAUUUAUAACCUACCGAGUACAUCUUGCGUUCAUCAGUACUUGACUAUGUCUUCGAAGAUAUUGCCCUUCAAGUCUACACAACUGUAUAUCCGCAGAAAUAGCAAGUAACUUUACAUGGCACUGUAGUCAGCUAAAAGGGAAAGGCACGCAAGAUAUUUCAUGCAGUACAAUCAAGCGACGAUCUCCUGGCAUUCUGUUUACCUGAUUUCACUCGGUCCGCACUGAUCUCAAGAUUUCGAAAAAUCUCUAGAUAUAAUUUACCAUGCCAACUGCAAGACAAUUCCUUUGUUAUGGUCCCGUUGUUGAUGUCUAUCUUUACCCUCUUGGUUCUGUCUGGCGUAGUUGCUCAGUAAAUCGAUAAUCAAUUAACAAACGAUUUUCGACUGCUGUCGGAAAUCGGUGACAAUCGACAAACUUAUGGUGUUGAUUACUAGUCAGGUCGGGAAAAUUAAGAACCGAGUCUCAAUUUAGAAGGACAUCAUGUUUUAUAACACGAUAUCUUCGUGCUUCGGGUAUCCUUUUCUUCACUGGGACUUCGUCUAUGAUAAAAGUUACGACUUCCACUGCGAGGUCAAGGGGGUGUCUUUAGUUGGUCUUGUGUGAAUUCGUAACGACGUUAUUUGAGAAUUACCUUUGGUUCAGUUUCAUUUUAGGUUCAGUCUGUCUUCUUUAUUGCAAAUCUAAGCCGUUCUUACUGCUCUUUAGACGAUAAAGAAGAUGACACUUUUCACAUCCAUACUGAUUCCCACAAUUUUCCUAGCAGGAUUUUCUACUUACGCCAUUGCUGCAGUCUCGUCCUGUACAGGAAAUCUGUGUAACGCUACGAUGUGCGAUUCGAAUCCAUGCAAAAAUGGUGCAACGUGUUUGGAUCAUAACAGCAGUUUUUCUUGUGUGUGCAAACCUGACCUGACAGGACGAUUAUGCGAACUGCAUCACAACCGUUGUGACUCUACUCCAUGUCAAAAUGGCGGAACAUGUACAAACGGGAUCGAUGCCUUCACAUGCACCUGUGCUCGUGGAUUUACUGGUGAGACUUGUGGAAAACGGACUGGGGAUUGUCCUGAUCCACCAAGCAUAGUCAAUGGAACAGUCAGGUUACGAAAUUCAUACGGUUUUUACACGUGUAAUAGAGGUUACAAGACACUGAUCAUGAUUGGAAGUCGCAUUAUCAGGUGUGUCAAUGGCAAGUGGAAUGGAAAGCCUCCCACGUGUCAAUCAGGAGUAAGACGCUCAGUAUGUAAAAGACCCGACGGUAUAAGGCAGGGUUACUUUGAGCCUCAAAAAGAUGAAUUCACUGUUGGUUCAAUUGUCAAGUACGUUUGUAACGGCAAGUACCGUCUCAGAGGCAAUGCUGAGCUGAUGUGCACUAAAGAUGGAAAGUGGUCGCCGACAAAGCUACCCCGUUGUACAAAAAAAACGAAAUGCAAAGAUCCAGGUAGCCCGAAAAAUGGUCGCCGUGAUGGAAGUUUGUUUCUAGAAGGAACUCAAGUUCGUUUCUCCUGUAAUGAAGGAUAUGAACUUGUCGGCCUUGGUGCACUCAGAUGCGUUCCUAAGUGUCGUGCGUGUAAGACCGUACAAUGGAAUGGCACUACACCGACCUGCCGGAAAAUAGAUCCUUUGAGAAGUCUGAAGAAGGUUGCAGAAAACCUGCGUAAACAUUUCAUCGACAAACUGAGUUGGACGACAACUGACAGCUUGGCUCGGGCAGGUUUAUCCUCCGGUGCUGGUGGCCUCGAUCUGGUGUUUGUGCUCGACAGCUCGGCAAGCGUCGGAAAUAAGAACUUCCAAAAAGGAAUCGCUUUCGCCAAAACGAUCAUCGACGAGUUUGGAAUAUCCAACUCUGCAAUGGGGACAAGAGUUGCUGUUGUUACAUUCAGCUCGACAGCCAAAGUUAUUUUCAAUCUGAAAACAAAUGCCAUGCCCAACAAAAACGAGGCUAUUGCAACUCUUGAAAACUUGAACUUUAUUGCCGGAGGAACCGCUACACGUCUUGCACUGAAUAAGACCAUUGAAGAAAUUGUGCCUGAGACCCGCGAGCGCAGCAAGAAAGCGCUGUUCCUAAUCACAGACGGCAGAUCCAAUAUCGGCGGUGACCCCGCCUCUGAUGCCAUGAUAUUGCGUGACAGCUGUGAUUUCGAGAUCUAUACUAUUGGCGUGACAGACAGUGUGGAUGAACAGGAGCUGCGAAGCAUUGCUUCCGAACCCUUCAGGACACAUGUCUUCCUUCUUAAAAACUUUGAAGAUCUGACCAAGCUUAAAGAGCUGAUAACUGCCAAAGGAAUUGAUUACAGUGAAUGUGGUAUAGCUGGAGACACUCAGAUGAGAAAUGGAGACAGACAGAACUUCCGAAUCGUAGGCGGCCGUGAAGCUAAACCAGGAGCCUGGCCUUGGCAAGCUGCUGUCUACGUAAAAAGCAACUUCCGGUGUGGCGGUGUGCUCAUUAAAGAGAACUGGGUACUAACUGUGGCUCAUUGCUUUUUUUACGAUGGAAAGGUGGAGCCAAGAGACGUGAUGGUUGUAAUGGGUGAGCACGAACGAUUCGUAGAAGAGGGAAGAGAGCAGAAUAUACGAGCCAACAAGCUCAUCUUUCAUCCAAAUGCAAGCUUGGCAAGUCUAGGGGAUGACCUGGCCCUGAUUCGCUUGAAGCAUGGGGUGAAGUUCUCACCUUUUGUCAGAACAGUGUGUCUACCUCAACCAACGGAUGUGUUCUACGUUAGACCGGGCAAGUCAUGUGUUAUAGCAGGGUGGGGGUCUUCUAGACGGGUUUCUCCGGAUGAUCUGGCAGGGCCUCCAAACGCCGUGCUUCAGCAGAUUCAAAUCAAGUUCGCAUCUCACAAGGAUUGCCGGGAAAAUGCCACCAAUGCUGCCGCAAUCAACGAAAAAGUCGUCUGCGCGGGAAACUCUAGUGGAGAGAAGGAUGCCUGCAAAGGAGACAGUGGUUCACCUCUCGUGGUCAGACGUUCUGCAGAUGACAGCUGGGCUGUGGUUGGUUUAUCGAGCUGGGGAGAGGGUUGUGCAACUCAAGGAAAGUACGGUGUGUACACACAACUGAAAAAUUACAUGCGCUGGAUUCAACGAAGAAUCAGACCGAAGAAAAAAGAUAAAGAUAAGAACAAAGAUUAACGUGUGGUGCAAUCCGAUCUCCUUUGUAGUGCUGUAGAAUGUAUUUGAUUGUAUAUCCAAAGAAAAAGAGACCGCGAUAAACCCUGGACGGAUGAGGAAAAUGACUGUUGGGUGCACAGGGGUACAUUCGACUUUCUAUUAGCUAAAAAUUAUUUUACAUUUUGUAUCUUUAAAAUGCUAUAUUAACAUUUUAACAUAUGAACAAUGCAUGCAGUCAGAUGCCAUCUUAAUUUAACCCGUUUGUCAAAGGUAGGCUUGUUUUGAGGUGCGUUGCUUUUUCAACGCACAGGCAGCAUUUUCGAGGCCUUUACCGUGAAUUAUUCUCUAUAAUUUCACGUGACCGGAAGCGAAUUUCAGUUUACCAUCUGGCUAAUUAAGAAGUCUAAGUACUAGGCAAGAUGUUUUGAAUAAUUUUGUUCGAUAAAUAUAUAACGAGCCCUCGUGGCAUGUAAAGAAGCGAUUGGCUACUAUCAAAUAGGAAGCAGUGAGAUGUCUGCAUCGUAACCACGUCAUUGAGAGUCUGAAAGGUACCCUACACAGGAGCAGCAUUGUAAUGCUUACAAUAUUUGUUUUUUUUUUUUAUAAAUUAAACUCAAAGUACAGUAAUGUGCUAUGUCUUGAAUGAACUUUUCCGGAUCACAAUUCCCUUAGCUUUACUCAGCUACAUGUUUUAAAUGGUGGCAAAUAGAGUGCAAAGUUAUCUUUGAUGUUUAACUGCUCCAGCUAUGCUUCGCCUAAAGAAGAACUAAUAUGCAGUGAUGAUGAUGAUGAUGAUGGUGAUGAUGAUGAUGAUGAUGACGCUGAGGACGAUCGAUGAUGAUAAAGAAGAAGCAGUACACCGUAACAGAGCAAUCAGUUUCAACGGACCAGACUUACAACACCAUCGACUGACAAACACAUUCACUUGACUCUGAAGAUGACUUCCGCUUAGGUUGUCGAAACGUCAGUCACUCACAACAGUUCUUUAAAGAACUACCCUCACACAGACGAUUACACCAUACAAACUGCAACUUAACAGUGAGAUGAGAUUGUUUUAUUCAAAUUUUGUUCGAAAUCCUUUCCUCUGAGCGGCCCUUCGAUUGUCUGUGGUGUACCAGACCACACGAGGUCAAGCAAGUUCCGUUAUGGAGAACGCCAAUUACCUACACUCAAAUUACAACAGUCGAGAUUCUCUUCAUUAUCCUGUGACGUUUUACUUCGAUUGAUUUGGAGGUUACCCUUUAUCCGUGUUCUUGUGUACUACAGAUUUGUCACCUGCGCUCUAUGACCUGUAUCCCGACUCUUCCAGCUAGCUUACACUAGAAUCCAAAGUCAA